CCUACGGGUGGCUGCAGUGGGGAAUAUUGCACAAUGGGGGAAACCCUGAUGCAGCGACGCCGCGUGAGUGAAGAAGUAUCUCGGUACGUAAAGCUCUAUCAGCAGGGAAGAUAAUGACGGUACCUGACCAAGCAGCCCCGGCUAACGACGCGACAGCAGCCGCGGGAAUACGUAGGGGGCAAGCGUUCCCCGGAUGUACUGGGGGGAAAGGGAGCGUAGACGGCAGCACAAGUUUGGAGUGAAAUCCCUGGUCUGAACCCCGGAACUGCUUUGGAAACUGUGCGGCUGGAGUGCAGGAGGGGUAAGCGGAAUUCCUAGUGUAGCGGUGAAAUGCGUAGAUAUUAGGAGGAACACCGGUGGCGAAGGCGGCUUACUGGACUGUAACUGACGUUGAGGCUCGAAAGCGUGGGGAGCAAACAGGAUUAGAUACCCCAGUAGUC
This 440-nucleotide ribosomal RNA is filed under the name uncultured bacterium. RNAcentral's name for it is "partial 16S ribosomal RNA". It matches the Rfam family "Bacterial small subunit ribosomal RNA", at positions 338 to 795 of the family's 1533-position model. The record is from RNAcentral.